GGCGUAAAGAGCUCGUAGGUGGUUUGUCGCGUUGUUCGUGAAAUCUCACGGCUUAACUGUGAGCGUGCGGGCGAUACGGGCAGACUUGAGUACUGCAGGGGAGACUGGAAUUCCUGGUGUAGCGGUGGAAUGCGCAGAUAUCAGGAGGAACACCGGUGGCGAAGGCGGGUCUCUGGGCAGUAACUGACGCUGAGGAGCGAAAGCGUGGGGAGCGAACAGGAUUAGAUACCCUGGUAGUCCACGCCGUAAACGGUGGGUACUAGGUGUGGGUUUCCUUCCUUGGGAUCCGUGCCGUAGCUAACGCAUUAAGUACCCCGCCUGGGGAGUACGGCCGCAAGGCUAAAACUCAAAGAAAUUGACGGGGGCCCGCACAAGCGGCGGAGCAUGUGGAUUAAUUCGAUGCAACGCGAAGAACCUUACCUGGGUUUGACAUGCACAGGACGCCGGCAGAGAUGUCGGUUCCCUUGUGGCCUGUGUGCAGGUGGUGCAUGGCUGUCGUCAGCUCGUGUCGUGAGAUGUUGGGUUAAGUCCCGCAACGAGCGCAACCCUUGUCUCAUGUUGCCAGCGGGUAAUGCCGGGGACUCGUGAGAGACUGCCGGGGUCAACUCGGAGGAAGGUGGGGAUGACGUCAAGUCAUCAUGCCCCUUAUGUCCAGGGCUUCACACAUGCUACAAUGGCCGGUACAAAGGGCUGCGAUGCCGCGAGGUUAAGCGAAUCCUUUUAAAGCCGGUCUCAGUUCGGAUCGGGGUCUGCAACUCGACCCCGUGAAGUCGGAGUCGCUAGUAAUCGCAG
Molecule: ribosomal RNA, 792 nt
Filed under: uncultured Mycobacterium sp.
Lineage: Bacteria; Bacillati; Actinomycetota; Actinomycetes; Mycobacteriales; Mycobacteriaceae
Description: bacterial SSU rRNA
Rfam family: Bacterial small subunit ribosomal RNA
Source: RNAcentral